GGACUGGGGCUUAGCGGUAGAGCACUUGCCUUGCAUGUGUGAGGCACUGGGUUCGAUCCUCAGCACCA
This 68-nucleotide transfer RNA is filed under the name Marmota monax (woodchuck). Its description in RNAcentral is "tRNA.Ala". The record is from RNAcentral. Lineage: Eukaryota; Metazoa; Chordata; Mammalia; Rodentia; Sciuridae.